ACAUGUGGACCCCCCCACAUGUAUGAUGAACCGGUAAAACUAGAGAAUUACAACAGUAUGUGAGACCUGGGAAAGGUUAUUAUUCUCGUAGGGGCAAUAUUGGAGGCGCGUAGUGAAUCUCCAUACAUAACCCCUGCAUUAUAAUACAGAUCCAGAUCCAGACCCCAAAAAAUCUGCCAAAAUUAGGACUUGAACUACUACUACUACUACUACCAAACAUCUUUCAACUACUACGCUCACAUGCAUACUGACUACUGACUACUACUAGCUCACAUGUUUAAUAAGAGGCAUUCACCUGUGCGCCUUGGGGUCCGGCCAGCAGCUUCUCCCUGUCACAAGAAUCCAGUAGACAUCAUAGUCUCUUCUUGUCUCCUUUAGUCCUGCGUCACUCUCGGUCUGUUCACACGCUCUUGAUCCUCUUAGCCUCCCGCCGUCAUUAUUUCUCGGUUAUGAGGCAUGAAUGGCUUUUGUAUUCGUCACUAUUCGGCUUAUUUACUUGUCACACGAGGCUGGGCAGGUGCACCCCUCCAUUGCCGCGAGGAACACUGGACUUUCUGCGGCUUCCACCUUUCACAUCAACAAAGGUAAAAAAAGGAGAUCAUCAGGUUUUUAUGAGUGCCUUUUCACAAUCAUAGCAUGGUAGAAGGGUCAAACUAACACCAGGGCCAGUAAACUACCCCUGGAAAUGCUCAAAACUCCUACGAAAAGCGUGUCAAAUAUGAUCUUGGUACGAUAGUUUUCUAAUACAAGUCAAGCUUAUCCGUAAAAAUAUAAAAUAAAAACCUCACACCCUAUUUUGUGACGUUUUCAUCUUAACUAUUGAGGUUUAAUGAGCUCUGUAUGUUUAUUUUGAGCCAGUGUUCCAGAGCGAGCACUGAACAAAUUACUGUCUUGUGGCGCAAUGGCUGCUCCUCACAUCAAACUAUUUAUAAAGGCCAAAAAAAAAAGGAUAUCUACCGCGCUCUAAUGCCUUAUUUUGUAGGUUCAUGACACAAAAGAAUGAUCAAACUACCAAGUGUCAUAAAACUACUGCAAAUACCCAAAACUCUUACUACGAAAGCCUUGUCAAAUAUAUGUGUGCUUAGGCGCAAAAAUGUUUAAGGAGAUGACUCAUAACGAGCUAAUUCCAUGAUCAAAUAGUGUCUUUGUAACGGCCUGAACCAAACUAGACAAUCCUAUAUAUACUCCAUAACUGUUAGCUUUUCUACUCGCCACCAGAUGCACAAGAGAUUCCCUGUGUAUAGUUACCUCAGUUUCCUUAACGUAUAUAUAUGAACUCCAAUCAAUAUAGACAGGGAAUUGUCGAAGUCGCUGGUAUUGUUUCGGGAGCUUACUAACGUACCCAUCUUGGCGUUGGCGAACUGUGAAAAUGGCCCUAAUACUAAUAAAUGGCAACUGUUGACCUC
This is a long non-coding RNA of Eriocheir sinensis (Chinese mitten crab), 1406 nucleotides long. RefSeq lists it as uncharacterized. The record is from RefSeq and is a predicted model, not a curated record. The transcript is spliced from 2 exons. Lineage: Eukaryota; Metazoa; Arthropoda; Malacostraca; Decapoda; Varunidae.